RNAcentral lists this ribosomal RNA (497 nucleotides) under uncultured bacterium. Its description in RNAcentral is "partial 16S ribosomal RNA". It matches the Rfam family "Bacterial small subunit ribosomal RNA", at positions 28 to 507 of the family's 1533-position model. The record is from RNAcentral.
GAUGAACGCUGGCGGCGUGCCUAAUACAUGCAAGUCGAGCGAACGGACGAGAAGCUUGCUUCUCUGAUGUUAGCGGCGGACGGGUGAGUAACACGUGGAUAACCUACCUAUAAGACUGGGAUAACUUCGGGAAACCGGAGCUAAUACCGGAUAAUAUUUUGAACCGCAUGGUUCAAAAGUGAAAGACGGUCUUGCUGUCACUUAUAGAUGGAUCCGCGCUGCAUUAGCUAGUUGGUAAGGUAACGGCUUACCAAGGCAACGAUGCAUAGCCGACCUGAGAGGGUGAUCGGCCACACGGGAACUGAGACGCGGUCCAGACUCCUACGGGAGGCAGCAGUAGGGAAUCUUCCGCAAUGGGCGAAAGCCUGACGGAGCAACGCCGCGUGAGUGAUGAAGGUCUUCGGAUCGUAAAACUCUGUUAUUAGGGAAGAACAGAUGUGUAAGUAACUGUGCACAUCUUGACGGUACCUAAUCAGAAAGCCACGGCUAACUACGUG